AACGAGAGUUGCCGGAGAUCCUCACCGGUGAAAUAGACACCUGUCCAAGAAAAUAGAACACACCCACAAAAGCAGGGGAGAGACUAAAAAGGAAAAGUGCAGGGGUUGCCAGAAAAGUUUUCGGCGGAAACAAAAAUUUCAGACCUCUGGACAGCACCGAGAUCUGCUGUGGGUAAGCAGUGAGAAAAAUGAGGUGGCUAAG
Molecule: long non-coding RNA, 202 nt
Filed under: Nicotiana benthamiana
Lineage: Eukaryota; Viridiplantae; Streptophyta; Magnoliopsida; Solanales; Solanaceae
Description: long non-coding RNA (NBEN_LNC000077)
Source: RNAcentral